AGUGAACGCUGGCGGCAGGCCUAACACAUGCAAGUCGAACGGCAGCACAGUAAGAGCUUGCUCUUACGGGUGGCGAGUGGCGGACGGGUGAGGAAUACACCGGAAUCUACUUUUUCGUGGGGGAUAACGUAGGGAAACUUACGCUAAUACCGCAUACGACCUACGGGUGAAAGCAGGGGAUCUUCGGACCUUGCGCGAUUGAAUGAGCCGAGGGCGGAUUAGGUAGUUGGCGGGGUAAAGGCCCGCCAAGGCGAGGAUCCGUAGCUGGUCUGAGAGCAUGAUGCGCCCCACUGGAAGUGAGACACGGUCCAGACUCCUACGGGAGGCAGCAGUGGGGAAUAUUGGACAAUGGGGGCAAGCCUGAUCCAGCCAUACCGCGUGGGUGAAGAAGGCCUUCGGGUUGUAAAGCCCUUUUGUUGGGAAAGAAAAGCAGCAGGUUAAUACCCCGCUGUUCUGACGGUACCCAAAGAAUAAGCACCGGCUAACUUCGUG
Molecule: ribosomal RNA, 492 nt
Filed under: uncultured bacterium
Lineage: Bacteria
Description: partial 16S ribosomal RNA
Rfam family: Bacterial small subunit ribosomal RNA
Source: RNAcentral